UCCAUAUUACCACUGAGCAUUCGAUCGAAGAAGACAACCUUCCCCAAUAGAGGAGGACUCUUCUUUGGUCAAGGAUAUACGAGUAGCUGCGUUCCCCUGCUAGAACCUCCAAACAAGCUCUCAAAGUCCAUAUUACUGUUGAAUAGGAGC
Molecule: unclassified non-coding RNA, 150 nt
Organism: Ictidomys tridecemlineatus (thirteen-lined ground squirrel)
Lineage: Eukaryota; Metazoa; Chordata; Mammalia; Rodentia; Sciuridae
Gene: 7SK
Rfam family: 7SK RNA
About the family: 7SK was discovered as an abundant small nuclear RNA in the mid-70s but a possible function has only recently been suggested. Two independent studies have found that 7SK RNA binds the CDK9/cyclin T complex (known as elongation factor P-TEFb).
Source: Ensembl